CUGCUGCCUCCCGUAGGAGUCUGGACCGUGUCUCAGUUCCAGUGUGGGGGGCCUUCCUCUCAGAACCCCUACGCAUCGUCGCCACGGUGGGCCGUUACCCCGCCGUCAAGCUAAUGCGCCGCAUGCCCAGCCGCCACCGGAUUCCUCCUUUCGCCCGGACCGGAUGCCCGGUCCGGGCGGCAUGGGGUAUUAGGCCGGGUUUCCCCGGGUUAUCCCCCUGUGGCGGGCAGGUUCCAUACGUGUUACUCACCCAUGCGCCGGUCGCCGGCAGGUGCAGG
Molecule: ribosomal RNA, 278 nt
Filed under: uncultured bacterium
Lineage: Bacteria
Description: partial 16S ribosomal RNA
Source: RNAcentral